AUUGAACGCUGGCGGCAUGCUUUACACAUGCAAGUCGAACGGCGGCGGGGGCUUCGGCCUGCCGGCGAGUGGCGAACGGGUGAGUAAUGCAUCGGAACGUGCCCAAGUCGUGGGGGAUAACGUAUCGAAAGGUACGCUAAUACCGCAUACGUCCUGAGGGAGAAAGCGGGGGAUCUUCGGACCUUGCGCGAUUGGAGCGGCCGAUGUCGGAUUAGCUAGUAGGUGAGGUAAAGGCUCACCUAGGCGACGAUCCGUAGCGGGUCUGAGAGGAUGAUCCGCCACACUGGGACUGAGACACGGCCCAGACUCCUACGGGAGGCAGCAGUGGGGGAAUUUUGGACAAUGGGCGCAAGCCUGAUCCAGCCAUGCCGCGUGAGUGAAGAAGGCCU
RNAcentral lists this ribosomal RNA (389 nucleotides) under uncultured bacterium. RNAcentral's name for it is "bacterial SSU rRNA". It matches the Rfam family "Bacterial small subunit ribosomal RNA", at positions 28 to 417 of the family's 1533-position model. The record is from RNAcentral.